RNAcentral lists this ribosomal RNA (187 nucleotides) under Staphylococcus aureus. RNAcentral describes it as "partial 16S ribosomal RNA". It matches the Rfam family "Bacterial small subunit ribosomal RNA", at positions 1 to 182 of the family's 1533-position model. Lineage: Bacteria; Bacillati; Bacillota; Bacilli; Caryophanales; Staphylococcaceae. The record is from RNAcentral.
UUUAUGGAGAGUUUGAUCCUGGCUCAGGAUGAACGCUGGCGGCGUGCCUAAUACAUGCAAGUCGAGCGAACGGACGAGAAGCUUGCUUCUCUGAUGUUAGCGGCGGACGGGUGAGUAACACGUGGAUAACCUACCUAUAAGACUGGGAUAACUUCGGGAAACCGGAGUUAAUACCGGAUAAUAUUUU